GGAUUAGCUAGUUGGUGAGGUAAGGGCUCACCAAGGCGACGAUCCCUAGCUGGUCUGAGAGGAUGAUCAGCCACACUGGAACUGAGACACGGUCCAGACUCCUACGGGAGGCAGCAGUGGGGAAUAUUGCACAAUGGGCGCAAGCCUGAUGCAGCCAUGCCGCGUGUGUGAAGAAGGCCUUCGGGUUGUAAAGCACUUUCAGUCGUGAGGAAGGUAGUGUAGUUAAUAGCUGCAUUAUUUGACGUUAGCGACAGAAGAAGCACCGGCUAACUCCGUGCCAGCAGCCGCGGUAAUACGGAGGGUGCGAGCGUUAAUCGGAAUUACUGGGCGUAAAGCGCAUGCAGGUGGUUUGUUAAGUCAGAUGUGAAAGCCCGGGGCUCAACCUCGGAAUAGCAUUUGAAACUGGCAGACUAGAGUACUGUAGAGGGGGGUAGAAUUUCA
This 441-nucleotide ribosomal RNA is filed under the name Vibrio alginolyticus. Its description in RNAcentral is "bacterial SSU rRNA". It matches the Rfam family "Bacterial small subunit ribosomal RNA", at positions 238 to 671 of the family's 1533-position model. Lineage: Bacteria; Pseudomonadati; Pseudomonadota; Gammaproteobacteria; Vibrionales; Vibrionaceae. The record is from RNAcentral.